AGGAACAUGACUCAAGAGACCCUGGUGUCUAGCGGUACGCCCACCUCCAUGUUCUCUGGUGUGUUAGAUCAGAACGAAGCCACUGCCACCAUCAGGAGAGGAGACAUUCUCCCAUCCAACAUUCCCAUGGAGAUAGCCGCCAUACCCGUUCCGCCUCCUGUGCCACCGGUGCUCGAUGAGGCCAAGGCACCCGAAGGGUCUGCGGAGAUCGAGGUUGCUGGCGUGUAUACUGUGCAGGAAGAAGACGAGGAAUCUGAAGAGAAUAUGGAGAUGUGACUGGCAGCAGGAAGAACAAAAUAGCUAAAGGGAAUUGAAAAUUAGACAAUAAAACAGUGUGGAGGAAGGAGAUAAAGAGACUGAAGAGAAUUCUGAGGUGCGAUUAGCUGCUCAAGAAUUGUAUGAGCACUGUCUUACAAUGCAGUAGGAACUAAAGUAUGGGAUGUCUGGUUUGCUCCGAAAACUCCAAAGUGGGCCAAACAUUGGAGCUGCCCCCGUUCUAGACGAAGCAAGACAAAUUUCGAUCGGUCUUAAUUAUGUAAAUGGUCUGACUUUCUUGAUGCUUUUGUGAAUGUUCUCCUUUCUUGGCGUCUGCACUUCCUUAUCAAGGAAACUUGUAUACAUCUAUUUACAAAAUACUCAGCAGUUCUUGAGCACUACCGUUGAUAAGAGAACGGUAUCCACUGAAAUGUUCUCAGUCAACCUUAAUGGAAAUCUAUGAAUCAGGUCCCUAACUACUGGAUUUUCUGCGACCUUUAUAUAGACUGUACGACAUAAAAGGUGAGCUCGGUGACCCAGAAAAGUCAAUAGAGGUUUAUUUUCAUCUUGAGGGAAUAUCUUCUAUCAUCCGUUGUUCCCGAUGGUCAGGGUGUGUGUGUGUCAUCCUAUUCCUGGACAGUGAUACCCUGUUCAGAGCGAGACGAUCAUUUUCAAGAAAGUUGCGUGUCUCAAUCCUCGCUUAACGGAAUGGAAAAUUUAGGAGGAUAAAAAAAGUUGUUGCAUCUUUCGCUAUCUGGGAACGUACGGAUUUCGUAAUUGUAUUAAUCAAGAUAUGUAUCAGAAUAGAGACGGUCUCGUGGUUUAUUUUCUAAAUAAGAUCUAAAUCGCUAAGAUAAAAUGGCGUCGAAUGAAAGGACGAUUAGUGAAUAAUGGAUCGGAAAAUAUGAGAGAGGAAACGGUAGUUAAAUAGUCUUGCUUUUGCCUCGACGAACUGAGUAAAGUCAUAUAAACAUGACUUAAGCUUAUCUUUUUCUGUAGUUUCUCUUCUAUUGCGUUCCUGUCAUCUCUCUUUCUUCUUCUUCUUCUGCCCCUGUUUUCUCUUUCUCUUGAUUUUGCUCUAUUCUGUCAGUAUUGCUAAAGAUGACCGCAUAUUUGGUUAUGAACGUGACAAUUUCCAGAAGUAAAAGUGGAUUAAACUUCUAGGUACAACUGACACUGCAAGCAGGUCUAAGCUCUUGUCUCUACACUCUUAAUCAAUUUGAAAGUAAUGAGCCGAUAAUCAAAAACUGUAAUGUGAUUGUCAUUCCACUCGCUGUCCUUUUUGAAAGACUGUCUUAUCCCACUGCUGUGGGACAAGAGUAACACUGUUAUCAGUGGGGCUUCUUACGUCGCCCCAACACGUAUAUAGUUUCAGUUCAGAUAUUUUUGAAAUGAGUUUGCUCCUGCAAAACUAGGGUACUGCAAUGAAAGUUUGGAAACGAGGCACAAAUCCUUGAAUUUAAAACAGUUGUUUCCCUCAUAGUGUACACGUGAUUCCGUUACGCAAAUUGUUUGAUCUAUCGAGGAAGAACAUUUGAGCCCUACGGUGGUUCGUUACUUAUAAUAUUGCAUUUUGCAGGCAAAAUACUAUUGUGGCCACGUACUGGUGACCUGUUUUACGCUUUUAUGUCGUUUUAUACUGUAACUGAAGUCGAAAAUUUUAUCUUAUGACGUAUUUACUCAUUUUAUGGCUUCAAUCUAAAAUAUGACAUAGCUGAAGCCUGUCUAUAUAAUAUUUCAAAAUUCUGUUCUUAUCUCAUAAAAAUAUCAUCUCCAUUAAUAAGAUUCAUUGGUUAGGGACAUAAUCUCUAUUCACAGUAAUAAUCAUACUAAACCCAUACAUACAAUCUGUGUGCAAAAUGCAGAAUUACUCACUGUUAAAACAAGUAGUACAUAUGAUGGUACUGAGGUUUGAAGAGUUAAGUACCUGUAAAUAGAAAUAACAUGCAUACGAAAAAUAGAAUAUACUUAAAAGGGAUGAGUACUAAGGACUGCAGAAGGCUCUGGGUAUUCUGAAUGCCAAAUAGAAUUUGCAGUAAAUUAGAAAGUCCAAAUUAAGCAUUCGUCAUAGUAGUGUAUAAAGACACAGUUAUAACUUUUAUUCACAUAUUUGAAAUUCUGCGUCAUAAAAUUUUACCAAUAUUAUGCUGAAAAUUGCCCAUAGUUGAUAUACACGACGUUUCGGGAGCUGAUUCUACUCUCGUCUUCAGGUGAUAGGUUGUCAUUGUAUGGACAGAUUUUCUUUUAUUUUUAACACUGCAGAAGAAGGUUGUUGAAGGUGGUCGAAGCCUGACUUUCGUCACUAUUGUUAAAAUAUAAAUUAUAAAAUAUGUUGCUCUAAUGACAGCCUGUCACCUAGUAGCAUUAUUAGAGUUCUGCCGAAACGUCGUGCAGGCUACAUAAAAUAUACUUCAGAUUAUGCAACACAGAAUGCACUAUAAGGUAACUUCAUCAAAGUCUGAAACAACACAUAACGCACUUUACAUAUACAUUAAUCACACUUUUGUAUGUCAGGUUCCAAGGAUUACUCGAUUUUCACUUUUCAUUGACGUAACAUAUUACUGCACCCAUCUGCGGAUUUUCAGGCACUUCGUAUUUUAUUAUAACAUGUGGUAUUUCUAGUUUUCACGGUGGUAGAAAUGAAUAUUGGUCUUCUUGGCCACGACGCCACCGAAUAGACUUGUAGGCGGUUAACAACAUUUGGAAGAAAUCUCUGGCUUACGUCUUUAGAUUAGCUUAGAUAGAUUCACAAACGCUGUGAACCACCAACAAGACUACAGAGUGUUGCUGCCGUUUUAAUGCUUUUGUUACAUAAAAUGUUGUAUUAUCUUACAACGGUCCAGCAUAAUUAAGGAUUAUUAUAACUUUGCAAGUUAUUAAUGUGUUCCAAUUAAGAUAUUCAUUUUAUAAUAGCAUACUUCACACUUAUCUAAGUAGUUUUAUUUUACAGUUUCCAUCAAUUUUCCUUUUUAUAAAAUGCCUUUCACGAAAAUAAAAAUUGUUUGUGUUGAGGGAUAAAACAAACACGUAUAGUUUGUAACAUGUUACAAUGCAUUUUAAAAAUGAUUUUAGUAUUCUUUUAUAUCAGAGAACAAAUUUUAUACAUGGAAAUUAUAAUAAUGUCCAUAAUGUUUUGUGGAUUUGUUCUGAGGGAGACACAGAAAGCCAAAUUUCACACACAGAACAUGCACAAAAGAAUAUCGAGCUUGCCCACAUCUCCUAAGUAUAGGAGCGGAAUGAAGCGAAUUAAAGACACUGUAAGACAGCUUAAAUUCUCAAGUUUAAUACAACGAGACGAGAAGUCCAUAAGACAUUACAACUAACGGCGGUUAUGUAUGAUUCCGUGUUAUUGACUGUACAAUUAAUAAGUUCAAGGGCGUUUACCAAAUAAUAUAAACACUUAUAAAAGGUAUUUCGAAUUUCUCGUUGUUUUUUAUUUUGCUGUGUGACUUCAAAAAAAAAAACUACACAAGACUGUAAAUGUACAAGAAGAAAUGCAUUUAAUUCUAUUCCUUCAAAGAAAGUGAAACUGGAUUUAGCAGUGUAAUGAAUUUGUUCAGAGACAAAGAAAACACUAAACCAUAAUGUUGUAAGUGAAGUUGUGAAGUCACUUGUGUUACCAUGUUGAAUGUAGCAGAUAUGUGUUGAUGUGUUAUUUGCGUGUAAAAAACUAAACAUAUUUGUCCUUAGGUAAUUCCUGUGUUCUGUACAUAAUAUACUUAAUUGGUAUGUGAUUACCA
This is a non-coding RNA of Zootermopsis nevadensis, 3995 nucleotides long. The record is from RefSeq and is a predicted model, not a curated record. NCBI's taxonomy places the organism in Eukaryota, Metazoa, Arthropoda, Insecta, Blattodea, Termopsidae.